This 374-nucleotide ribosomal RNA is filed under the name uncultured organism. RNAcentral describes it as "bacterial SSU rRNA". It matches the Rfam family "Bacterial small subunit ribosomal RNA", at positions 526 to 896 of the family's 1533-position model. The record is from RNAcentral.
CGUAGGGUGCUAACGUUGUUCGGAAUCACUGGGCAUAAAGAGCGCGUAGGCAGUCUGCUAAGUCAGGUGUGAAAUCCCCCGGCUCAACCGGGGAACGUGCACCUGAUACUGUUGGGCUUGAGUGCAGGAGGGGAGGAGCGGAAUUCCUGGUGGAGCGGUGAAAUGCGUAGAUAUCAGGAGGAACGCCGGCGGCGAAAGCGGCUCUCUGGUCUGUUACUGACGCUGAGGCGCGAAAGCUAGGGGAGCAAACGGGAUUAGAUACCCCGGUAGUCCUAGCCCUAAACGAUGGGUACUAAGUAGAGGAAAUUCCGAUAUUUUCUCUGCCGGAGCUAAUGUAUUAAGUACCCCGCCUGGGGAGUAUGGUCGCAAGGCUA